This 361-nucleotide long non-coding RNA is filed under the name Olea europaea (common olive). Its description in RNAcentral is "long non-coding RNA (OEUR_LNC012895)". Lineage: Eukaryota; Viridiplantae; Streptophyta; Magnoliopsida; Lamiales; Oleaceae. The record is from RNAcentral.
UAGGAUCCAACUGGUGGAGUGCGCCAAACAACCAUAAUAGGUGGUGGUGGGAGAGGACGGGUCAAAGAAAUGCCAAAAAAAGGUGCAAGUGUCACAUCUCCUCGCCAAUGCUCAACUCGAAAUAGUCCUCCCAUAUGAAGAAAGGAGAUCAUGCGGUAGAUUCUCCAAAUAAUACGUCUGGCCACCAUACGAAUACCUCUAUGCUUCGCAUCAUUCCUCUCAGUCCAUAGAAACCAAAAUAUCAGUAGAGGAAUGAUAAUACGAAUGUGUCCACGGUAAACGUGCUGUCCAGAAUAUCGCCAUCUCUGGAACCUCUGUCUGACCCCCUCCCCUGAAGUCAUAGGUAUCUGUAAGAUGUCUC